This is a non-coding RNA of Gasterosteus aculeatus aculeatus (three-spined stickleback), 1616 nucleotides long. The record is from RefSeq and is a predicted model, not a curated record. Lineage: Eukaryota; Metazoa; Chordata; Actinopteri; Perciformes; Gasterosteidae.
UGAGUCAGCCUUGCAUGGCUCCCCGGGGGGGGCGGGGGCCUUCAGUUUAGAAAGCACUUAAUACACGGCCUCAAACGACGCGCUCCAGUAAGAGCGCCGUGAUGGAGUGGAAUAAUGGAGCUUUUUGGACAGCGCGGCAGUGAGAAUUUGCAGCCCCACACGAAUGCACACGUUAAAGGGGGCAUCAGUGAGCUCACCUUGAAGCCGACGUCCCCUUUCUUGCAACACAGGCAGGCCAGCAUGAGGAAGACAAAGGUGAAGAGUCCAGAGAACGAGACAGCCACCACUGCCAGUGACGAAGGCCAUGACAGCUCGCUCAGCGGAGCGCCAUCUGCCACAGAGGGGGAUAAUGUGUUAACAGGGUGCGGCUGUACAGAGAUCACACGGCAAACCGCAGACACACACGAAGUUCAAAUCUAAAACGUGAUAGAGCUCACUAACGGAGACCCGGUUGUACUGACCCAUUUGGCUGUCGGGGACAAGCUGUUCCAGACCUGACAGCUCCUGUGGCCCAAACAGUACUGCUCCAACCAAAGCUUGACCCUGAGGUCACGGCUACAAAGCCUUCGCUUGCACACACACACACACACACACACACACGCAUUGGUAGGACAUGUAAAGAGACGUGCAGGUUCUUACUUGAAGCCUGGUUUAUGAACUACACCACAUGUGGGCUUGGGCAACCACCAACCCAUCACCAUGGUAACAACCUGCACUAAACCUCGUCCCCUCUUUGUUUCCCCACCUUUAGAAGAUAUAUUCCAGUAAUAUGCUCUGACAGCUUAUGUGUCUGAAGGAGAAGACGGAGCUGAAGGAGACGCUAACCCAAGCAGUGCCCUUUCUGGAUCCCCCACGUACCACAACACAAAGCCUGUGUGUGGUGACGGGACAUUGUGUGGAGGCUGAUUGGGGGAAACAGAGAUUGACAAAACCAAAUAUCAUUAAAAUGCAUUCUUCUUCUCUGCUAUCUAUACAGCCAAAUUUCCAUCCUAAUUUUCAAAGAAUAUUCAGCACUUUACACACAACUAUUGACACAUUCGAUGUAUUUUCAAAAGCAUUUCAAGCAGUAUGCUGCAUAUAAGUAUGAUGAACCUUUGGAUGGAUGGAUGUGGGGAAAGAGGAUUGAGUAGAGAGAAAGCACACAGAUGGUGCCAGAAGCGGUGUGGACAUGUGGUGAUUAAGAAGGAGUGGUGACUCAAAGGCGGACUGACGACGUAAAUCACACGUACGCAUGUCAGGUCGGCUGUCGGGAUGUCACAGCACAAAACAGAGUCACUGUGAAAUGAGGACAGAAACAGAGCAAGAGUUCCAGUGACUCCAUCAAGAAAACUUUUUUUGAAACCCUCAACAACAGCCAUAAACUGUGGGUAUUAAAUACCAAGAGUAAUCUGAUGUCAGGCCACAGCCAUGUUGAAUUCAAGUACAUGUACCUUGUCAGCACCUUACGUGGAGGCCUGUUUACGUGCAUGAAUGGCUGAGAGAAGUCGUCAUGGCAGACAAAGGUUGGGGAGAUGGAACAGACGGCUCUGCUCAUCCUUUCCCCACCGUGAUCAGAAAUAACAACUUUAAAAUGGAGGAGCAGAUGGAAAACUGCAUAAAACCUAAUAAUCCUAAUA